GGACUCUGGUUUUUCUCUAAAACAAAUAAAUCUUUCACCUUUUACUAAAGAUUUCCAUGGAGAACAAUUAUGAGUUGGUAACCAAAUUUUUUGAGGUCUUGCUCAGGCAAGCU
Molecule: small nuclear RNA, 113 nt
Filed under: Propithecus coquereli (Coquerel's sifaka)
Lineage: Eukaryota; Metazoa; Chordata; Mammalia; Primates; Indriidae
Description: U5 spliceosomal RNA (ENSPCOG00000009304.1)
Rfam family: U5 spliceosomal RNA
About the family: U5 RNA is a component of both types of known spliceosome. The precise function of this molecule is unknown, though it is known that the 5' loop is required for splice site selection and p220 binding, and that both the 3' stem-loop and the Sm site are important for Sm protein binding and cap methylation.
Source: Rfam by way of RNAcentral